GACGAACGCUGGCGGCGUGCCUAAUACAUGCAAGUAGAACGCACAGUUUAUACCGUAGCUUGCUACACCAUAAACUGUGAGUUGCGAACGGGUGAGUAACGCGUAGGUAACCUGCCUGGUAGCGGGGGAUAACUAUUGGAAACGAUAGCUAAUACCGCAUAAUAUUGAUUAUUGCAUGAUAAUUGAUUGAAGGAUGCUAUUGCAUCACUACCAGAUGGACCUGCGUUGUAUUAGCUAGUAGGUGAGGUAACGGCUCACCUAGGCGACGAUACAUAUCCGACCUGAGAGGGUGAUCGGCCAAACUGGGACUGAGAAACGGCCCAGACUCCUACGGGAGGCAGCAGUAGGGAAUCUUCGGCAAUGGACGAAAGUCUGAACGAGCAACGCCGCGUGAGUGAAGAAGGUUUUCGGAUCGUAAAGCUCUGUUGUAAGAGAAGAACGGGUGUGAGAGUGGAAAGUUCACACUGUGACGGUAUCUUACCAGAAAGGGACGGCUAACUACGUG
This 505-nucleotide ribosomal RNA is filed under the name uncultured bacterium. RNAcentral's name for it is "partial 16S ribosomal RNA". It matches the Rfam family "Bacterial small subunit ribosomal RNA", at positions 28 to 507 of the family's 1533-position model. The record is from RNAcentral.